UUUCCGUAGGUGUACCUGCGGAAGGAUCAUUCAUAAUAAAGUGUUUUAUGGCACUUUUUAAAAAUCCAUAUCCACCUUGUGUGCAAUGUUAGAUCUCGUCAAUCUUGGCGAGAUUUUUAUACAUCAACUCAUUCUUUAACUAAUUUGUCUGAAAAAUAUUAUGAAUACUUAAUUCAAAAUGCAACUUUCAACAACGGAUCUCUUGGCUCUC
Molecule: unclassified non-coding RNA, 211 nt
Filed under: plant metagenome
Description: partial contains small subunit ribosomal RNA, internal transcribed spacer 1, and 5.8S ribosomal RNA
Source: RNAcentral